GACGAACGCUGGCGGCGUGCUUAACACAUGCAAGUCGAACGAUGAAGCCGGAGCUUGCUCUUAUGAAGUUAGCGGCGGACGGGUGAGUAACACGUGGGUAACCUGCCCAUAAGACUGGGAUAACUCCGGGAAACCGGGGCUAAUACCGGAUAACAUUUUGAACCGCAUGGUUCGAAAUUGAAAGGCGGCUUCGGCUGUCACUUAUGGAUGGACCCGCGUCGCAUUAGCUAGUUGGUGAGGUAACGGCUCACCAAGGCAACGAUGCGUAGCCGACCUGAGAGGGUGAUCGGCCACACUGGGACUGAGACAAGGCCCAGACUCCUACGGGAGGCAGCAGUAGGGAAUCUUCCGCAAUGGACGAAAGUCUGACGGAGCAACGCCGCGUGAGUGAUGAAGGCUUUCGGGUCGUAAAACUCUGUUGUUAGGGAAGAACAAGUGCUAGUUGAAUAAGCUGGCACCUUGACGGUACCUAACCAGAAAGCCACGGCUAACUACGUGCCAGCCGCCGCGGUAA
This 514-nucleotide ribosomal RNA is filed under the name uncultured bacterium. RNAcentral describes it as "partial 16S ribosomal RNA". It matches the Rfam family "Bacterial small subunit ribosomal RNA", at positions 28 to 523 of the family's 1533-position model. The record is from RNAcentral.